This 316-nucleotide long non-coding RNA is filed under the name Elaeis guineensis (African oil palm). RNAcentral describes it as "long non-coding RNA (EGUI_LNC075359)". The record is from RNAcentral. Lineage: Eukaryota; Viridiplantae; Streptophyta; Magnoliopsida; Arecales; Arecaceae.
UUCUUGUUCUACAUGCUUAUAUUAUUUGAUUGUAAUCAUCAUGAUGUUUCUAGUAUUUUUAUAUUUUGAUAGUUUAGUUUAAUUUUUAAACUUAUUUUUAAUUAUUGAAUGCAAAUAAAAAUUUUUAAAAUUUAUAUUCUACUGUGUUAUCGAAGUCCAACAGUAGUAUCAAAGUCAUCCUUGAUUGAUUCAAUCAAAUAUCAUAUUAUUAUUGUGAUAUGGAUUAAAUCCAGUUCAUAUUAUGCCAAAAUUAGAUUUUUUGAUUGAUAUUUAAUUGAUGUUCUUGAUACAUUUUUGUUAAUAAUAAUGUGUUAUC